UGCCCAAUGCGGGAAUCGAACUCGGGUCGUAGCGAUCGAAAAUCAACGGUUUAGACCAUCUUUCUACCAACCCACUAGGGC
RNAcentral lists this transfer RNA (81 nucleotides) under Cordylochernes scorpioides. RNAcentral describes it as "tRNA-Glu". The record is from RNAcentral. Lineage: Eukaryota; Metazoa; Arthropoda; Arachnida; Pseudoscorpiones; Chernetidae.